RNAcentral lists this ribosomal RNA (1021 nucleotides) under Berkleasmium sp. BCC 17003. RNAcentral's name for it is "SSU rRNA". It matches the Rfam family "Eukaryotic small subunit ribosomal RNA", at positions 73 to 1102 of the family's 1831-position model. The record is from RNAcentral. Lineage: Eukaryota; Fungi; Ascomycota; Dothideomycetes; Tubeufiales; Tubeufiaceae.
AUUAUACCGUGAAACUGCGAAUGGCUCAUUAAAUCAGUUAUCGUUUAUUUGAUAGUACCUUACUACUUGGAUAACCGUGGUAAUUCUAGAGCUAAUACAUGCUAAAAACCCCGACUUCGGGAGGGGUGUAUUUAUUAGAUAAAAAACCAAUGCCCUUCGGGGCUCUUUGGUGAUUCAUGAUAACUUAACGGAUCGCAUGGCCUUGCGCCGGCGACGGUUCAUUCAAAUUUCUGCCCUAUCAACUUUCGAUGGUAAGGUAUUGGCUUACCAUGGUUUCAACGGGUAACGGGGAAUUAGGGUUCGAUUCCGGAGAGGGAGCCUGAGAAACGGCUACCACAUCCAAGGAAGGCAGCAGGCGCGCAAAUUACCCAAUCCCGACUCGGGGAGGUAGUGACAAUAAAUACUGAUACAGGGCUCUUUUGGGUCUUGUAAUCGGAAUGAGUACAAUUUAAACCCCUUAACGAGGAACAAUUGGAGGGCAAGUCUGGUGCCAGCAGCCGCGGUAAUUCCAGCUCCAAUAGCGUAUAUUAAAGUUGUUGCAGUUAAAAAGCUCGUAGUUGAACCUUGGGCCUGGCUGGCCGGUCCGCCUCACCGCGUGUACUGGUCCGGCCGGGCCUUUCCUUCUGGAGAGCCGCAUGCCCUUCACUGGGUGUGUUGGGGAACCAGGACUUUUACUUUGAAAAAAUUAGAGUGUUCAAAGCAGGCCUUUGCUCGAAUACGUUAGCAUGGAAUAAUAGAAUAGGACGUGCGGUCCUAUUUUGUUGGUUUCUAGGACCGCCGUAAUGAUUAAUAGGGAUAGUCGGGGGCAUCAGUAUUCAAUUGUCAGAGGUGAAAUUCUUGGAUUUAUUGAAGACUAACUACUGCGAAAGCAUUUGCCAAGGAUGUUUUCAUUAAUCAGUGAACGAAAGUUAGGGGAUCGAAGACGAUCAGAUACCGUCGUAGUCUUAACCGUAAACUAUGCCGACUAGGGAUCGGGCGAUGUUUCUAUCUUGACUCGCUCGGCACCUUACGAGAAAUCAAA